UUUUAAUUUGAGCAGGUAUAAUCCAUUCCUUUUCCCUGUCUUUACUGUUCUUAGCCUUGUAGUUCCUUACUUUGAUUCAAUUUCAUGUUUAGCCGUGUAAGGUGUUACUUUAGGCAAAAUUAGUAAUUAAACUACAUCUGUUUGGUUAAAAGAUAAUUGAAUACCAAUAGUGACGUUUCAUUUAUUUUUGUUUAGCAUUUGCUCGUUGUAACUAGGAUUGAGUUGUUGGUUUAUUUGGGCCUGGGUAUUGGUUAUUUUGACAAAGAGAAGAAGGCAGUUGGACUUGAGUCCAAGUCAAUAUGACUCUUUUGACUCAAGCCCCAACGUAUGUGAAAUCUGUUGAUAGUAACAUUGGGCGUAAAUGAAAGAAGAGGGUAAUUGGAAAAUUAAUUGUGAGGGAAUCUUUCUAUUAUUGGUUUAGGAAGGUUCGAGGAGAUAAGGAAAGGACUAUUUUGCAAAAUAAGAGUAAAAGGAGGUCGGAUUUGGGGGAUGAGGGAGUAAAAUAAAAAAAGAAAAAGGAUUAAAAAGAAAAGUAAUAACUGAAAGAUGUUUAAAUCUAUUCUAUAAAGCAGCACAUUCAUUCAUUCUACACACACACGCAAUUCACAGGCUCUCACACUCAUCGCUACUCUUUUCUCAUACACUACACAUACAUUCACUCACUCUUCUCAUUCAUACUCAUCUAUUCUCACUCACACUCGUCUACACACCUAAAGGCAUCUGAAAAAUAGAUUUGAAAAUUCAAAAAAAGAAAUUCCUUGCUAAAGGUUGAAAGUUCCAGUUUCAGAAAUUAAAAGCAAAGAUGGUUUAGUUUGAUUUUGGUACUAAAAACAACCAGCUCCUGUAUUUGAUUCAAGGAGAUCUUCUACCCUAUUUUCCUGAUUUUUCAAGCUGAAAACUGAAGUUGUUUUGCUGUUCAUUGCUGAAUUUGGGUGUUUCAAGUUGCUGAGCUCUAUUUUCUAUAUUUCCAUACCUUUAUUUGGUCUAUCUCACUUUCUCUUGUUGUUUAGGUAUGUUCAGUUACUUUUGUCGUUUUGAAUGGAAAUCAUGAAUGAAAUUCUAGUUGUUCUCUGCCUAAAUUCCAUAGAUCCAGCAUGUUCAAUGGCUGAAUUUGUUUGAAUUCCCAUCCCUUGUUAAUUUUCUGAAAUUCUUUGUCGGUAAAAGAUGGAUUUCUGAGUUGUUAAAUGUUGAUGAACUAAGUGAUGUCUAUCAUUAAUGAUAAUUAAUUUCCUAGGGGUAAGGAUUCAUACACAGUGAUGUCCACAGGAUAGACUAAUCUAAUUUGCGUUUGAUUGUUUAGAUACUGCCUGUAGCCGAUUGAUUUAUGAGGGUAGCCCGAUGGCUAUGUCAUUGUAAAUCAGAAUCAUCGAGAAGAAUGAAGGUCACUAGCCUGAGUUGUUGCUUUCCUGGAACCGGAUAAGGGUCUGAUUUGCCCAUCUACUAUCAUAAAUAGGUCUUAUUUAUCUUCCAUUUAAAUUUUUUAUCAAAAAUAUCUAUACAGUUAUACAUUAAGUUGAUAUUUACCUCUUACACGUUAAAAUGAGCUAUAUUUGCCCUUCGUUAUACUUUAGGAUCAUAUUUACCCCUCUACUCUUCACAAAGGGUUACAUUUGCCCUUCGUUAUUGUCACGACCCAAACAAACCCCUGUCGUGAUGGCGCCUAUCGUGGAACUAGGCAAGCCGACUCAUUUCUAAAACAAACCGAUAUUUUCAUUUCAAAGAUAAUUUCAGUGCUAUUUAACAUAAAAACCUUCGCAAAGGAGUUCAAAUCAAAACAAAAGUGCGGAAGGAAAAGCCCGACAUCGGGGUGUCACUAGUCAUGAGCAUCUACUAUAAUCUGUCUAAUAAUAUCAAGGCUAACUCAGCCUUGAAAAUAGCUAAAUACAACUAGAGGAAGAUAAGAGGGAGAAGAUGAGGGGCUACGGUCGCCAAGCAACCUUGUUAUCCCCGAAAAUAUUUGCAACCAAAAUAAUCAACAAUCACUACCGUGUCCAGCUACACCUGG
RNAcentral lists this long non-coding RNA (2005 nucleotides) under Nicotiana tabacum (common tobacco). RNAcentral describes it as "long non-coding RNA (NTAB_LNC004193)". The record is from RNAcentral. Lineage: Eukaryota; Viridiplantae; Streptophyta; Magnoliopsida; Solanales; Solanaceae.